This 253-nucleotide ribosomal RNA is filed under the name uncultured bacterium. RNAcentral's name for it is "partial 16S ribosomal RNA". It matches the Rfam family "Bacterial small subunit ribosomal RNA", at positions 524 to 776 of the family's 1533-position model. The record is from RNAcentral.
UACAGGGGGUGCAAACGUUGCUCGGAAUCAUUGGGCGUAAAGCGCACGUAGGCGGUUCGUUAUGUCGGAUGUGAAAGCCCUUGGCUUAACCGAGGAAGUGCAUCCGAAACUGGCGAACUAGAGUACGAAAGAGGAUCGCGGAAUUCCCGGUGUAGAGGUGAAAUUCGUAGAUAUCGGGAGGAACACCGGUGGCGAAGGCGGCGAUCUGGGUCGAUACUGACGCUGAGGUGCGAAAGCGUGGGGAGCAAACAGG